UCUCCUCAGCAGCACAAGAAG
RNAcentral lists this microRNA (21 nucleotides) under Oryza sativa (Asian cultivated rice). RNAcentral's name for it is "osa-miR5144-3p". RNAcentral also lists the same sequence under 1 other name. Lineage: Eukaryota; Viridiplantae; Streptophyta; Magnoliopsida; Poales; Poaceae. The record is from miRBase by way of RNAcentral.